This is a non-coding RNA of Oryctolagus cuniculus (rabbit), 20182 nucleotides long. The record is from RefSeq and is a predicted model, not a curated record. Lineage: Eukaryota; Metazoa; Chordata; Mammalia; Lagomorpha; Leporidae.
GCAAAACAGAUUGUAUUUAGCUAUUCAUUAAAAGUCUAUGAUGUCUAUCAGGCAUUGUGCUAGGUAUUUGAAAACAAGGGUGGUUGUUAUAGGUUAAUGUGAAAGAAUAUCUUAAUUGUCUGUAAGUGUAUUUGUCAUAUCUUUAUUCUGGUGUUUUAGCUAAAUGAAUUUUAUAUUAACUAAAUGGAUACUGUUAGGUGGGAAGAUAUAUGUUAAGUAGGAUAUUUCUGCAUUUUGUUAGAAAAAUAUUUUUCAAAAUUUUCCACUUAAUGCUAUAUUUUAAGGUUGUCUUCUAUAUAGAGUUUAUUCAUUUUGGACAGCCAUAAAGUCCAUGUGGCUAUCAUUGCUGAAUUUUUAUUGCUAGCCAUAUAUAAUUCCAUUAUUUGAAUAUGAUUUAUACUCUUUAUUAAAUUAAUUCAUUACUUUUUCGAAAACACUAAAUGCAAAUUCUCCAAACUUAAACUUUCUUCUCAAAAGUAAAUUUCCUACCUCAUAUAGCAGGUAAUCUUAUAUGGUUGAAUUGAAAGACGUUAUAUGUUUUGAUUUUGACUUUUAAAAUAUUUUCUACUAUAUAUCAUGCAAAUCUAACAUCAUGAUUUAAUUAUUGUGCGGUAAUGCGCAAUACUUAGGAGCUUUGGGGUUUUUAUUAUAUUUUGGAUAAAUUACUCCAAGAUUCUCACACAGAACUUCCCAGUACUAGUUCUAAAUCUGUAGUGAUUUUAAAUAUUUUUGGUAUGGUUUCUUCAGCUUUAGGAAAAUUACUUGGAAGUUUCUUAGUAGAUGAAUGUUUCAAAAAUCUUAUCUCAGUCUUUGCCAUGGCUUUCAUAUGUAAUAGAAAUGUUUGUUGAGAGAAAAAGUACUGGAUUAAAUUUGUCCUCCUUAAAGUCUUAACUUUUAGGAUACUGUUGAUUCACAGUUUUUAAAAAGGAAGGGGUGGCUGUGUGAGUGUGGUAUACUAGGAACACAAAUAGAUUUGUGAGUGGUAAAUUCUGAUCUCUUUCACAUUCAUUCCUAAAUUUCUAUUUUAUAAAUAGUCAUAACUAUAGUCAUAGUUUCAUUUAAUACUACCCAUCAAUUCCAAUCAGUCCUUAGGGUGCUCCUGUGAACUUUCAUUAUGUUCCCCAUGUUACAAAUUCAGAAACUGAUUACUAAGCAACAGCAUUUUGUCAUUAUAUAGCAGCAAAGUACUUUAACACAUUAACUUUGACACUUCCUAAUUGAAGACACAGUCAUAGUAAAGAGUAUUUGUCAACCUAUGCUUGAGAAACAUUAGUAAAACUAUGGCCUGAUAGCUUAUUGAUACCGUGUUAAGAAAAUUUCUGAAGGUUUACAGUCAGAAAAACAAACAGUAAUCCCCAGUCUUUAUAAGAAAUGUAGGUGUAGACAAGUCAGCAACUUAAAGUAUGCAUGAAGUCAGUCUUCACUUUAUAUGACAAAAAUAACGUUUGGGCCUUCUAGAUACUGAAUUUCCUUUAAAUUGCAAAGAUUUGGGUUUAGUGUUCUGUUACAUGAAGUUUAGAGGAUCCAACAAUAUAUGGCCCAAUGAGUAUUUAUUAUAAAAUUUUUAUGUAAAUGUGUUGAUAGUGAAAAAUCACUAAACAAAAGGGAAUUCUGUUUAGUGCUUUGAUGUGUUUGUACACAUUAUCUUCUAGACUCUUGUCAUAAAACCUUCUCAUAUUAUAUUACAUACAUAGAAUUAAGUUUAAUAUAUUUUUAGCACUACAGAAAAUCAAAAUUAAAAAAAUAUUUGAGAGGCAGAGAAAAAGAAAAUUCCUAUCUCUGAUCACAAUGGCCAGGACUGGACCAGGCUGGGACUAGACCAGGCUGAGAACUCAAUCCGAGUCUCCUUUGUGGAAGGCAAAAACUCAGUAAUUAGGACUAUCACUAGAGGAAGCUGCAGUCUAGACCCAAGGUAUCAUACCCAGUGAUUCAGAUAUAAAAGACAGGGAUCUUUUAAAAAUAUACUUAUUCACUUAUUUAUUUAUUUGAAAGAGUUAUGGAGAGCUAGGAAGAGACAGAGAGAGAUCUUCCAUUCAUUGAUUCAUUCCACAAAGGCCAGGACUGAACCAGGAGCUUCACCCGGAUCUCCCACGGGGGUUCAGGGACCCAAAGACUUGGGCUCUCUUCUGCUGCUUUUCCCAGGCCUGUAGCAGGGAGCUGGAACAGAAGUGGAACAGCUCAGACGUGAACUCUUGCCCAUAUGGGAUUGCCAGCAUCACAAGCAGUGGCUUUACCUGCUAAGCCACAGCACAAGUCCCAGAACACAGAUAUCUUAACUAACAUGUUGACCACUAGGCUAAAUGCUUGCCCCCAGAAAUAGUUUUUAGCAUAAGAACGAACAACUUGGGACCAGUGCUGUGGCAUAGCAGGUUAAGCUGCCAUCUGCAGUGUCAGCAUCUCACAUGGGCACUGGUUUGAGUCCUGGAUGCUCCACUUCUGAUCCAGCUCCCUGGUAAUGAACCUGGGAAAGCAGUGGAGAAUGGCCCAACUGCUUCAGUCCCUGCACCCUCGUGGGAGAACUAGGUGAAGCUUCUGGCUCCUGGCUUCUUCCUGGCCCAGCUAUGGCCUUCACAGCUAUCUGGGGAGUGAACCAGCAGAAGGAAGAUCUCUGUCUCUGUCUCUGUCUCUCUCUAAUUCUGACUUUUAAAUAAAUAAAUAAGUCUUUAAAAAAAAAAGAGUGGACAACUUGUUGAAUUCUCUAGAUUACUAAGUUGCCCCAUAGUUAGUUGUUCCUUAAAAUUGCUACUAAAUUAAAAUCUGUUUUUCAACCAGCUAAUCAGAAUUGAUGUCUACAUCAUUGUUUUUUAGGAGAAAAGAGAAAUAAAAAAAUUUGUUUUUGUAUUUUAUUUAUCAAGUAAGUUUAAUGUUCUCAAGUACAUACACAUUCAUUUAUAUAUGCUUGUACUGAUUAUCAUCAUAUAAACUUGGAGGCCCACAGAUUUUGGAAAUACUUUUAAAUGCUAAAGAAAUUGUACUUUUAUAAAUUAUACUAUUAUAUUUCAAAGACAAAAAUUUUUUACAAAUGAUUUCUUGCUAACAAAAACAAUCUGAAUAGUGAGCAGGAUAGAGUUUAUCUCUGGACCCAAAUAAUUUCUGUAGAUAAUUUAAAGUUAAGUCAAUUAAAACUGAAGAUUCUACUCAGCAUUUCCAUUUCAAACAUCUCAGAAGUUAUAAUGUGUCGAUAUCACUCCUGAAAGAGACCAGGAGGAUCCAGGGUUAACAUACUUAGAUAUGUCUUCUAAAUGUAGUUGUACAUAAUAGAUAAUGGAAAAGAAAAUCGCUAAUGAUAGCGAACAUGGUUUAAAACUUAUACUUUAUUCAGAGUUGUUGCAAAUUUUUGUUUGAGUCUUUAUUUCUGUUGACCUAUAAAACCUUUCUUAGAGAACUUAUAAUUAACUUUUGUUAUACUGAGUAAGUUGUUAGAACAUACUGUUUUGAAGGACUCAGGUAAGUUUUGUAAGUUAGUCAGCAAUUCUACAAUGGAGAACAAUUAUUUGUACAUUUGUGUUUUACUGAGUUUUUUUUUAUUUUUGGUUUGGUUUGUUUUUGCCAACCAACCAAAAAUCCAGCAUUAAGAAGAAAUUUUUCUGUGAGGUGUUAAUGUUAAAACUUAUAUUCCUGUACUACAUUUGUUUUUUAAUUUAGUGACUCUAUCUCAAGUUAGGAGUAAACCUAAAAUAUGUUUUAAGAUUAAGUGCCAAAUUCUAUUUAGUUUCACUCUUAUAUUCACAGCUAUUUUUUAACACACAUUGUGAAGUAUCUACUAAUCUGUUGGCCGUUAAUUAACCUAAUCUGUACAUUUUUAAUAUUAGCAUCUAAAAAGAAUAAUUCAAACUGUAUGUAACAAUAAUUGGGGGAAACGGGGCGGCCAGUGCUGUUGCAAAGCAGGUAAAGCCACUGCCUGCAGUGCCAGUAACCCAUAUGGGCACCAGGUUCGAAUCCCGGUGCUCAACUUCCGAUCCAGCUCCCUGCUGAUGGCCUGGGAAAGCAGUGGAAGAUGGCCUAAGUCCUUGGGCCCCUGCACCCAUGUGGGGGAUCCUGAGGAGGCUCCUGGCUUCUGGCUUUGGAUUUGCACAGCUCUGACUGUUGCGACCAAUUGAGGAGUGAACCAGCGGAUGGAAGACCUCUCUCUCUCUGCUACUCCUCUCUCUGUGUAACUCUGACUUUCAAAUAAAAUAAAUAAAUCUUAAAAAAAAAAAAAGAUAUAUCAAUGUAAAACACAGCUACUGAGUAAGAAUAAAAGGAAUUCUGUUUGCAAGUUAAAUGUAAAAUUUAUCAUUAAUAUUAAAUGGCAUCAGAAUAUCAGAAUAUGUAGAAAAUCAUCCUUAAUAACAGAAAUUUAAUGUUAUUUUUAAAGCAUUGUUCUGAAAUCAUUUUCUUCCUUCCACAUUUAUUAUACUGGAGUUUGUGCUGAAGGAUUUCUUGGUCAUUUUAGAGACUGUAAUCUAGUUAAAAGGUUUGUUUAUGCUUCCAUCCCUGUUCUGCUGAUGGUAUUAGAAUGCAGGCCAGAGCCAGACGUCUAACUGUUUACAAUAUUCAAACUUCAAUUAAAGCUACAGUAUUAAGCCUACUAUAUAUCAAGAAACUCAUACCAGCUACAAGCAUCACUAGACUUUCCUAAUUCUACCACUUCUUGAGAAUAUUUCUCUUAUGAAAUGUUAGCAUUGAAUUCUUUCAUAGAUGUGUAAAAGGAAGCUUGCUUUUCUACCAGAAGUAAUAAAGUAUUUUGAUUUAACAAUUUGUUUGGAUAAUAGAAGUCUUAACAACUUAUAUUAAUGCAUAUAUCUCAGUUUAAGAAGUCCAUCUUAGUUGUUUUAAAAUUAAUAUAUUCUUUUUUUUAAAGAUUUGUUUUUUAUUUAUUUGAAAAGCAGAGUUACAGAGAGAGAGAGAUCUUUCAUCCACUGAUUCACUCUGCAAAUGGCUGCAAAGGUCAGGGCUGUGCCAGGCUGAAGCCAGGAGAUUGAGCCUCUUCUAGGUCUCCCAUGUGAGUAUAAGGGCCCAAGUACUUUAGCCAUCCUCUGCUGCAUUUCCCAGUUACAUUAGCAGUGAACUGGGUCAGAAGAGGAGCAGCAGUGUCUCAAACUGGUGUUCAUAUGGGAUUCCCGUGUUACAGGUAGCAGUUUUAUUUGCUAUACCACAGGACUGGCCCUGAUACAGUCUAUGACAGAUGUAACUUUGCAAUCCAGUUGGUUGGAAAACUACAGCAUAAAAACAUAACAGUAUAUUGCUAUUAGUACAUUACUCUUAGAUGUGAAAGGAAUGUAGGUAAUACUUAAAUUUAAUCUUACGUUGCUUUUCUGUGUUACUGCUCUUGCUGUUUGUAGUUUUUUUUUUUUUUCUUUUUUUUUGACAGGCAGAGUGGACAGUGAGAGAGACAGAGAGAAAGGUCUUCCUUUGCCGUUGGUUCACCCUCCAAUGGCCACCGCGGCCAGCGCGCUGCGGCCGGCGCAACGCACUGAUCCGAUGGCAGGAGCCAGGUGCUUCUCCUGGUCUCCCAUGGGGUGCAGGGCCCAAGCACUUGGGCCAUCCUCCACUGCACUCCCUGGCCACAGCAGAGAGCUGGCCUGGAAGAGGGGCAACUGGGACAGAAUCCGGUGCCCCAACUGGGACUAGAACCUGAUGUGCCGGCGCCGCAAGGCGGAGGAUUAGCCUAGUGAGCCGCGGCGCCGGCCAGUUUUUAUGUUUUAAGCAUAGUGUUAAAUUGUUUUAAAGGUUAUCAAGAAGUCUUUAAAACAUUUCUUUAGCAGCUUUUUAUUUUUUGCCGCUAACCUUUGCCAGUUAAAAAAUUAUUUGAGUUCUAAGUGUGUUUUUCUAAUUAAUAGGCAUAUUUGCUAUAUACAUCUUUCUUUUCUGUAAAACUUGAAUGUAUUCUUUAAUUUUAGAUAUUGAUUGGUAAAAUGUAUAUGUUAUUUAGGUAUGUAUGUACAUUUUUAUUGGAGUCUAAGUUUAUAGCAGAUAUAGACAAAAUGCAUCCAUUCUUUAUGUAUACAUAUUUUCAUUAAAUACUAAGUUUAUAGCAGGUAUAAAAAUAUUCAGAAAAGAUGGAAAAUUAGACUGUAUCAAAUUAAUUGCCACUAGCACACUUUUAAUUAAGAAAUAAUGCAGUGAAUAAUACAGUGUAAAGGUUUACAUGACUCAUUUUCCUGACCACUGAAAGAAACAAGAGAUUUAUUUAGGAAUAAUAUAAGAAAAUUAAAUAACUACCAGUGGUAUGUGAGGAUACGAACUAAAAACAACCAUGUAAAAUUUAGAUUUGUAAGUUAAGUAAAUGGGAAGACCUCUAUAAUAAGCUAAGUGGAAAGAAAAUGAUAGAAUAAAUGGAAUAGUGUAAACCAAAUUAUGUAAAAAAAGUGUGUAAUAAUACACAUGUAAUGUUUAAGAAUAGUAUACAUGGAUUUCAAAAUUUUUUACCAAAAUAAUUUACAUUUUAAUUCAGCUUUCCAUGAACUUUUCAAAAAUUUUGAAAUCCAUGUAGUUUUUUCAAAAUACUUGUUUUCCAUGUAUAUUUUGAAGACCCCUUGUAUGUUUAUGUGGGAUAUAAUACAUGUUUUUACUAUACAUACCAUAUAUCCAUAAAAUAUAUACCAUAUAAAAAUAUAGUUCAAAAAAUUCAUGGAAUAUGGAAUGAAUUUUAAGUUUAUUUAGUGCAAAAAAAUUUUGAAAUCCAUGCAUACAUGGAGUUUUGAGAAAACACAUGAAAGAUUUCUACUAUGAAAAAACUGCAUUAUUUUCACAACUUCUUUUGAACCAAAAUAAACUUGUUUCUCAAUUCUAUUUUCUAUGAACUAGAAAUACACUAAGAAAAUGACUGGAAGAUAUAUAUCAAAUUAUUUCCUUGAUAUACAGAAAUUGUGCUGAAAGGUGAGAAAUGCACCUCUCAGUAGCCUGAGAAAAUGGAGACUGGAGUGCUGAUGGUGUUGAAGGAUGUCAGCUAUGAAGUGAUACACAGUCAGUCUCAGUCUUAAACGACGUAUAAUAUAUGGGUCUAAGGUGAACUUUUGUUAUUUUAAUCAGUGAUCCAAAUUAUAUGUUCACUCAAAGUACAGAUGGUACAGUCACUUAACAUUCUGUAAUGUUUUCUAUAUUCAGGUACUGGUUUAGAUGGAGGACAAAAAUAAAACAGCUUUGAAGACUAAAUAGUUUUCUUGUGUGACUAAAACAUGUACUUGAAAAACACUUUAGGAACCUUUGUAAGGUAACAUCAAACUGAGUAUGCAAAUAUGCCUAGUAAAGAAGCAAUUAGAUUCUGUAGAGCUAAUCAAGAUUUGGGUAGAGGAGAGAUACUUGGAGAGAUCACAGAACAUGGUAUUCAAGUACAGAUAAAACUUCCAAUGGGUCAAGGAAUUGAGAAUCUUAUUUUUAUUAAUUUGAAAGCUGGAAUUAAAAUUCAGAAUAGGUGCUAAAUUAGGGAAGUAGUUGCAUGUAUGUACCUUUAUGUUUAUGUAAAAAAAAUUUAUUUUUCAGAAUUAGGUCAAAAGAAAGAAGAAGAAAAAAUUGGGAAAUAACUUGCAUAAAACAUUAGGAAAUGAGUUUUUCUUUGCAAUUAUGACUAGAAAAUCCACUGAAGUCUGAAAUAAGUAUUCAAAAUAUGAGUUAGAAAUGAAACACUAGUUAAAAUAGCAAAAUAUUAUGCAAGAAUAUCAGCUGAGGUUGUUUUUCCUUUUAUAAUUAAAAUUCAUUCCCAGGUUGUUCCUGGGAUCAGUAGUAAAUAAUAUGCAAUUAAAGCUAUAAAUCUUAUACAUAAAUAAAUGCCAAAAGUAGAAAAAAGAUAUAGCUUAUAUUUUUUCCAUUUAUGUUAUAAGUUGUCAGCAUCUUAUUUCUUUCCUGUUAGCCCUAUCAUGUAAAGCACAAUUCCAUCUACCUCUGAACAUUAUUUUUUUUUUUUUGUAAACUGGCAAGUUUAAACAGUUCUACCAUAUAUGGCUCUGUGUUUUGUUUUGUUUUCAGGUGAACAGUUAUAGUGAUUUUUCUUUCAAAACUUUAUGGUUACCAUUGACUCAGUGUUUGUUACCUCUCUUUUACUGAUGGUUUGCCAGUGUCUUUCUUCAACAAGUAUGAAUAUGAUGAUUAUUUGUUCUUAGUGCUAAUGAGCAAAAAUAGAUCUGGGUCUUGGUCUUCUGGAACGUAUGUCAUAGAGAUAGAAAAGGUACUUGUGUUAAUCAAAAAAUCAUACAAUUAAAUACGAAGUUGGAACUAUUUCAGUUGUUGUAGAGAGAGAGGUACGUGAUAUUUAAUAUGUUUUUUUUUUUUUUUUUUUAAUUUUUGACAGGCAGAGUGGACAGUGAGAGAGAGAGAGACAGACAGAGAAAGGUCUUCCUUUGCCGUUGGUUCACCCUCCAAUGGCCGCCGCUGCAGCCGGCGCACCGCGCUGAUCCGAUGGCAGGAGCCAGGAUCCAGGUGCUUUUCCUGGUCUCCCAUGGGGUGCAGGGCCCAAGCACCUGGGCCAUCCUCCACUGCACUCCCUGGCCAUAGCAGAGAGCUGGCCUGGAAGAGGGGCAACAGGGACAGAAUCCGGCGCCCCAACCGGGACUAGAACCCGGUGUGCCGGCGCCGCAAGGUGGAGGAUUAGCCUAUCGAGCCACGGCGCUGGCUCAAUAUGUGGGUUUUAUAAGAAGAGUUUAGCCUUUCAUUGAGAUCAAAUGAAAUUUUUUAAGUGUUUAUUUGGCUGAUAAUUUAAUGAGUAAGUGUUGACUUGAUUAAGAUGAAGAAAAGAGCUUUCUGGAAAGAAGGAGUAGCAUGUAUAAAGAUCCUGAAAGUAGGAAGUACCCUGUUACCUAAUGUUAAACAGAGUUAGAAGUUUAAAGCAACAGGAUACAUGGAGAAAGAUAUUAAGGAGUUCAAUAACAGCGAAACUGUAGGACAUUGUAGGCCUACCUUUUCUUUAUUCUCAGGGUUGAAUUUAUAUUUUCACUGAAAUUCUUCUUUCUCAAUGGAGAGAGCUUUCUAUUAGAUAUGAAAAAGUUAUGUUACAAGACUUCAUUUUUAUUUCAAUUUAAAACUCAUUACAUGUUUUCUUGUAGAAUUGUAGUGAUAGUGUCAGAUCUCCAAAAUACCCUAUUAACUUUGGAUAGGACAACAUUGGAAACUAGUGGUUAUCACAUAGUACCCUAAAUGUAAUCUGGUAGAAAUUAAAAAAUAAAAGGAAGAUAGGGAUUAAAGAUGAUAUCUCUUAUGUUCAAAAGAGAAUGCAGAAUGCUGUGGAUAUGACUGACUAAACUAUGAAUAAUGAAGACAAAAAGCCUUCAAGUGCACUCUAAUAGUGAGUUUCAUAACCAAAGAUUUUAAAAGGUUCACAUUCAGUAGGGAAACUUCAGAAGACCCUCAAGUGGAACCUGGAUAUAUGGUAUAUUAUGAUAUCUAGAGCACAUCAAGGUAAAGAGAGAGUAGAAAGCAUCACGUUCACAAAUUUAAUAUUUGGGAAUAUAGAGUAUAUGGGUGACCUCAAAAACUUCAUGGAAAACUAUAAUUGGAAGAUAAAUUAUUUUGAUGCAAAAGAAUUCUGAAAUCCAGGCAUAAAGUUUCCAUGAUAGACAUUUUCUGUGAACUUUUUUGAAAAUCGCCCAUAUGCAUGGAUCAGUAUUUUUUUGCACCUAAAUAAACUUAGAUUUUAAUUCCAUCUUCAUGAAUACUUUAGAGUGUACUCAUGUGUCUCAGUUAUUUGAGUACUUUUUUUUUUUUUUUUUUAGAGUUAUAGACAGUGAGAGAGAGAGACAGAGAGAAAGGUCUUCCUUCCAUUGGUUCACUCCCCAAAUGCCGCUACCGGAGCUGUGCCGAUCUGAAGCCAGGAGCCAGGUGCUUCUUCCUGGUCUCCCAUGUGGGUGCAGGGUCCAAGCACUUGUGCCAUCCUCCACUGCUCUCCAGGGCCACAGCAGAGAGCUGGACUGGAAGAGGAGCAACUGGGACUAGAACCCGGUGCCCAUUAGGGAUGCUGGCACCGCAGGCAGAGGAUUAGCCAAGUGAGCCAUGGCGCCAGCCCUUGAGUACAUUUUAUAAAGUUCUUUCAUUUAUUGGUAUGAAAAGUAGAAUUACAAAAUAAUAGCAUUACAAAUGCUACAAUUUUUGUUAUGUUUAGAGUAAUUCUUAAAGUCAUAAGUGAUUAUAAAUUACUAAGUUAACUUUUCCAGACCAUGAUACUAGCCUUGUGUAUGUGAAUACUGAUGUAAAUCAUUUAAAAUGGUACAUCUUGAAAGAUAUUAUUUAUUUUUAUUUAUUUGAAAGAGAGGAGAUCUUGUAUUUAUUGGUUCACUUCCCAGACACCACAGCAGCUGGGGUUGAGCCAAGCUGAAGAUAGGAGGCCAGAACUCAAUCCAGGUCUCCCACGUGGGUAGCAGGGCCCCAAGUACUUGAGCCAUUACCUAGGCCUUUCCAUGGUGUGCAUUCCCCACAAGCUGAAAUCAGAAGUGGAACUGGAACAUGAACCCAGGCACUCCCAAUAGGAUGCCCAGGUGGGCAUCAUAAUGCCUGCAUUAAACAUCUCCCUCUCCUUGGAAUAGUAACUUCUAAAUAUAAAAUUGAAGAAAUAUAAUUUUUAAUUCUUGUUUCAAUAAAAUUGUCUUGAUUUUAUGUUGAUGUUCAGUUUUAAGGCUCUUUGGACCACAGUUUCUAUUUGUAUUAAGUAAUUAAUAGCCUAAUUAUUAACUAGAGGUUAAAGAAGUACCCAAAAUAUAUAAAAGUCAUUAUAAAAAUAGAUUAAAUCACUUUCAGUAAGAACAGUAGCACAAAGAUAUAUUAAAUUGUAUGAAAGAAUGUAUAUACAAGUAUUAAUUACGUUGACAGGGUAUGUCACAUUACUGUUGUUAAAUCAGUUGUACCAACGCAACCCAUUGAAUAUUGAACAUUGUUCAUCAAGUGAUCUUGAAUGUAACUUUCUGACAUUCUCAGGUAUAGCAUAUCAAGCUUUGAAAACAGAUUAUCAAAGAUUCAUAUCUAAAAAUAAUAACUACGGAAUUGUAGUUAUUUGUUUACUUGUUUAUAAGAUAUAAGAUAUCACUAGCAUUAAUUUAUUUUUCAGUAUUGCUUUUGGAACCAUCCUAGAAAUUUUAUGAUUCUUUCUGUUUUGUUUCUCUGAACAGACUCUGAAGUGUAAAGGAAUAUGCACAUUGAAAUUUGGAAAGCACUAGAUUUAUAAGGUGUAUAGUAUCUGUUUUUAUUAGCAUUUUUUAAAGAUUUAUUUAUUUACUUGAAAGUCAGAGUUAUAGAGAGAAGGAGAGGCAGAGAGAGAUAGAGAGAGAGAGAGAGAGAGGUAUUUUCCAUCCGUUGGUUCACUCCCCAGUUGGCCGAAACAGCUGGAGCUCUGCUGAUCUGAAGCCAAGAGCCAGGAGCUUCUUCCAGGUCUCUCACGUGGGUGCAGGGGCCCAAGAACUUGGGCCAUCUACUACUGCUUUCCCAGGUCAUAGCAGAGAGCUGGAUGGGAAGUAGAGCAGCUGGGACUCAAACUGAAGGCCAUAUGAGAUGUUGGCACUGCAGGUAGUGCCUCUAUCCACUAUACCACAGUGCUGGCCCCUAUUAACAUUUCUUAAAGAACAUUUUAAAUAGGUGUUUAUUCUUAUUUAGAAUAUAUCCUAGUAUCUGUAAGUUUAAAAAAGUGAUUAACUUUCUUCUCACAGGUUAAAUUCAGAAAGUAAUAAAUGAUGACAAUCAAAAAAUUCAGAAUCAUCUCUUUCAGAGAGAAUUGUAAAUGAUUGUUUAGAUAAAUAUAUUUAAUUUCAGAUUUUUACUUCAUGUUGACAGUUGUAACCAAAAUAAAGGUUUUAUGUAAAGGCAGACUGAAUUUUCUAAUUAAAAAUAAAAACCUUAUUAAUUAAAUAUUUAAUUAUUUUUUUAAUUUUAAAUUCAAAAAUUUAAAUUUUAAUUUUUAAAUAAUUUAAUAUUAAAUUUAAUAUUCUGCUCUGAAUAUUGUCUGCAUAUAUGGAGAUUUCCACAUAAAGGCCACUUUUAUUCUAGAAAAGAAAACAAAUAUAACUCUAUAAUUCUUUAAAAUAGCAAGGUAUUGACUGGUUUCAUAUUCACAGUGUCCCUCCAAUUUUUCAGAUGAAAUAAUAUUCAAAUGUUAUAAAGAAAUUGUCCAAAAUUUUUUAAAAUAUUUUUUGUGUUUUCAGUUCUUUCUAUUGAUCAGAUUGCAUAGAUUCAGGAAACCUAAUCACCCAAAAUUCCAGUUUGAAGUUUAUUUUAUAAGUCCUGAUAUGAUUAAACCACCUUGAAUUUCUGCUUAAAGAUGUCAAGUUUGUUUAAAUAUGCCUUUGAAAGCUUUGGCUUUUGCAAAGGAUUAUUCUCUUAAACUGAGUAAAUUAUAGACAUUUUAGGCUAUUAAGGCUAACAUCAACUGCUAAGAGACAAAAAGAAUAGUAAUUUUUUCAUGGGCACAAAUUUUUCUCAAAGUAAAAAAAAUACUGUUCUACAUGAUUCAUAUUAUAAAUAGAGUUAGCAAAAGAGAGUCCUAGGACUGGAGAAGCAAUCUCGAGCUUUUCAUACUGAUAUAAAAUAUAAAUAUUCAUUGAAUUACUCAGUCAAGAGAAAUUAAUUAACUUUUGUUACCUGGUAUUCAGCAAUGAAUAAAACAGGGAAGGGUCAUGCAGUUUUUUAGUCUCUACAGUGAAGACCAGUAAUACAGAAAUACUUUUAAGAGUGAUAUACAUUACAAAAGCAUGAACAGUUCUUUCAGGUGCCAAAAAAAGAGAGAGCAAGAGAGAAAUGGAUGUAGGUUGAGUUGUAAGACAGACAUUUCUCAGUGGUAAUAAAAAAGGCAUAUAAUUUUUUUAUUCUUUCAAUUUUGUUGAGGAAAUAAGAGACCUAGUAAAGGUCAGUGGGUUGUCCAGGGUCAUAUAGCUAGUAAUGUGUCUGGGUAUGAGGUUACUAGCUUCCUAAUCUACUUAUAUUUACUGUGUGAAAUAAACCGGGAAUCUAAGACAGGAAUUUCAGGUAAGGUUACUGUAAAACCACUUUGAGCUUGAAUAUACUCAAUUAUCAUAUGAAGAGUCAGACUUUCUAAACUUUUUUCAGUGUCUAUUUUAUUUUAAUUUCUUUCCCUCUACUUUAGCAUUUACUAUGCUUUUCAGGAUCUUUGCUAAGUCCAUACUUACACAGAAUUUUACAAGAAUGUUCUCUUGGAAGCCAGUAUGCUGGUGCCAUGACACCUAAAUCUCAUCUCUACAAAACUGCUCUGGGUUUUAUAGUGUUUUUCCUAAGAAAAUAGUGUUUUGUUUAAUUAUCAUGAACUUACUAAGUUACUGUCUGUCUAUUGCUAGAAAUAAGAAAAAGGAGGAUGGCCGGCACCAUGGCUCAGUAGGCUAAUCCUCCAACUAGCGGCGCCGGCACACUGGGUUCUGUCCCGGUUGGGGCGCCGGAUUCUGUCCUGGUUGCCCCUCUUCCAGGCCAGCUCUCUGCUGUGGCCAGGGAGUGCAGUGGAGGAUGGCCCAAGUGCUUGGGCCCUGCACCCCAUGGGAGACCAGGAGAAGCACCUGGCUCCUGCCUUCGGAUCAGCGCUGUGCGCUGGCCACAGCACGCCAGCCAUGGCGACCAUUGGCGGGUGAACCAACGGCAAAGGAAGACCUUUCUCUCUGUCUCUCUCACUAUCCACUCUGCCUGUAAAAAAAAAAAAAAAAAAAAAGAAAAAAAAAAAAGAAAAAUGAGGAAUCCCGGACAUUAAGGACAUCUUUUUUCCUGGGAUCAUUUUGAUCUGCUACUGUUUUAAAAUUCUGUUACUAUAGAGCAACCCUUGAUAUGUCUGAUAAGAAAAGAGUUCAUAAUAAAUCAGAAAAACUAUAAUCAUGUUUAAGGUUUUGACUAAACUAAUGGAUAGAGAUGAAGUUUUGUAAGUAAAGUGAUUUUACCUUAUUUCCAUUAUAUUCUUUAUUUGGUUUUUGGUCUUACUGUUUGUCUAGAUUAAUAAAAGUUGGUUUCUUGUUUCCAUAAAAAAAAGAAUAUUAAAUAGCAAAAUUACCCAUCCUAGCAACUUACUUUGACUUGGGGCAAAAUACAAUUAUAGGUUCAUAAGUAUGAAAAGCAAAUAAACAGUAUGAAAGUUGAGUCUGCAAUGCUAGACAUAGUAACAACAGGAAACAUCCCACCUACAAUGCAUAUGGCAAAGGAGAAAGAUAAUGCAACAGACUAUAGUCAAAAAUAAUAGCUGGGAGUUCAAAAACUGAGAAUUCUGCUUUACAACCUUAGAAACAGUCAUCCAAAAAACCGUUGUCUUUUUCUGGAUGUAUUACAGUGAUAUAAACAUACUUUAAUUUAGAAGAAAAACCUUUAAGUAUCCCCCUUCAUAAUUUUGUGUCAUAGUUAUAGUAUAAUAUCUCCUGUGUGUUUUAAAUGUAAUUUUUUCUCAUGUACAUGUGGUUUUGUCUCAAAGGAACACAUACUGUUUUUACUUUAUUGUGGUGCCAUUUUUUAAGAAAUUUGUUACAUGAAAAAUAGAUCAUACAGUAUCUACAAAAUAGGUGGUGAAAAGUUUUCACUGAAGAAUUCCUUUAAAUAGAAAGCUCUUCUGGUAUACCUGUUUGUAAAAUUGCUUCCUUCCCUGGGCUAAAAUAGACACACAAAAACUAUGUGAAAAUGUCAGAAGUCACUGCUGCUUGAAUAGUAAUCAGAAAUAAGAAAAAAAUCAUUUCUGAAAUUUUAAUUAUGAACUAAUGGAAAAUUAUUCUGCAUGUAGAAACUUCAUUUAUAUCUCACUUCUGAAUAUAUUCAUCUUAUUAAGUAAAUUACUACUGUAUAUAGUUUAAUUUUUUUGAGAGUAGUUUGAAGCAUCUCUAUGAAAACAGUGCAUGGAAUAAUGUACUGUAGUACAAAGAGUUAUAUAUUAAAAUGACAUUAAUAAUGGGUAUCAAUUAAGUACAAGAGUGCUGGCCUGUCAGUUAUGUUUCUUCUAUUAUUUUGUUUGAGACAAAUGUGUUUGGGAAUGCAGUGGUCUAUAAUACUACAGUAUUGUCUACUUUGAUGUUUAAUAUUCAAAGCACCUUAUUGGCAGAUAAUAUCCAAUUUAGUUUUUAAUUUGUAAGAAAGACUCGAGAGGUUUUUUAUUUAUUUGAAAGAUAAAGGAACUCAAGAGAGAUCAUCUAUCCACUGAUUCACCUCUCAAAUGCCCAGUUAUCAGGGGUGAACCAGGAUAAAGCCAGAAUUGCCAACUCCCACUUGGAUGUAAGGAACCUAAUUGCUUGAACCAUUACCUGCUACCUCCCAGGGUGCAUAUCAGCAGGAAGCUGGAAUUGGGAACAGAGUUGGAACAUGAAACCAGGCCCUCUAAUAUAGGAUGUGGGCACCCCAAGGGGAAAAAGGUCAAAAGCCUAUCCAUUCUUUAGUUCUUCAAAAUGAUGAGCAAAGUCAUAUCCAUUAAUUCUAAGCUUGUAUAGUAUAUGGAAUAUGUAGUGUGGAAUGUCCAGCUGUCUGAUUCUCUUAAUUCUAUAUUUCUGUGGUCUACUUAAAUAAAAGUGUUGGUUUGAUAUAUAUAUUUCAUAGUAUUCAUAAUAGUUAUUGAAAUUCACAAGUAUGAUCAUUGUUGUAAAUUACAGUGAUAGUUUUUUAAAAUACAACCAGCUUUUUAUGUUGUUGUUGCUUCAUUUUUCCAACUCCAGCAUUAGUUUUGGUAACACAAUUACAUCUUCAUUGUGUUUACACAUUCAUUAAAUUAUUAAUUGCAUGCCCCAUGUUAAAAUAAUACUUUUUGUUUGUUUUUACAUACAUCUUUCUCCUAGAGCAAUCUUAACUUAUUUUUGCUAGUUUACUUCACAGAUAAUUCAGAAUUGAAUUUCACUUCCGUAGGGACAUGCCAUUACGUCAUUUCAAAUUAUUGAAAUGAUAGUAUGCCCAUGGAACUAAAUAAUUUAAUAUUGAGAAUAAUACUAUUGUACCAUGGCACUGAGAGAUUGAUUAUAAGUCCACUUUUCUUAUGAAUUACUUUUUUAAACACAGAAUAACGAAUUGUCUAUUCAAAGAUUAUUCCAGCUAUUUUAGUCACCUUUUUCAUCAGACAUGUUUUGGGGGGGCUAAAAUAAAUCAGAUUAAAUAAUAUGAGUGGCUCACUAAAGAACAUUUAUUGCUAAGGGGAAAUUCAUGUUAUAAGAUGAUGAGUGGGUAAGUUAGAAAUACAUUUUCUGUGUGGGAAAAUACUUGCUUCUGUUAUAUUCAUUUGUAUAAUAAAAACGCUUAAUGUUAAUCUGUGUAUUUUUUUCCUAAAAACAAAAUUAGUUCAGUAAAUAUUGCCAUGUGAAAUAGGUUAUUCCCAAGGUUCUUAUAUCUGGCAAAAUACAUAAAAAUACUCUAUAAAGUUUUUAUUUCUCCUGUAGUCAUCUAAAUUUAUAUAAAAAUAAUAGGUUAGAUAGUUAUUCUACAAAUAUUAAAAUUUAUUUUACCACUAUCUCUUAUUUCUGACUGAAAAUUCAUUUGUUUUACUGGAAGAUGAUGCAACUUUGGGGGUAUACUUUUUGGUGGCUGUUGAAUUAUUUCUUGGUUCCCUUUGACUUUUCUCCUCAUGUGUUCCUAAAGGGUAAAUACUUUCAUGCAAAUACACAAACAAGUCUAAUGUUUUACCUUUGCAAUAGAGGCACAUUAUAUUUUGAUAUUUUACAAAAUGGAGCAUAAUGACUGCAAUAGCAGCUAACUCUUUUAUUAGCACUCUAGGUACAUAAUAAAUACAUACUUCACAAAUGUGUUCUGUCAUUUAAUCCACAGUCACCUUCAAAUUUAGUACAAUUUUUUUUUUCCAUUUAACAAAUGAGAGAAAACUUAUUUAGGUGAAUUAAUUCAACUAAAAUUAAACAAAUAGUAAAUUUUGAACUGGAUUUAAUUUUAGUACUUUACUUCUUAACCACUCACUAUGCUUUACUAACUCUUGAAAGUGACUUUAAAAUUCAGUGUCCAAACUGUUCAUUUUAAAAACAGGAUUAAAUAUGGAUAGCUAAAUGAAUAGAUUCCUUCACCCCCACCUGGUACUGAAGGCUACAUGAAGGAAAGAGAGAUACUAACUUACCCACUUUGUGCCCAGUAUAGUUAAAGACGCUGUGUGUGUGUGUAUGUGUGGCAUUUAAUCUUUAUCUGGAUGAUACAUCUUGUGAUCCUUUUCUACAGAUAAUUAAAUUAAGGGUCUGGUGUUCGGUGGCUGUCUCAAGGGCAUUCCUUAGAUGUCAUUUCUUUUUUCCUCAUUGCCUUUAUGCUAUUAAGCAUAUUUGGGUUCAUUGUAUGUAGAAAUUUUGAAGACUUAUGCUCCUGGUUCUAGAAUAUAUAAUAAAAUUGCAUCUUAAUUUAUGUAAACAAUCAUAGUCCAUUCAAAUCAAAUCAGCUUACCAGAGCUUGUGGUUUUAAUGAGGGCUCACUAUAUGCUAGUAAAGUUGAAAAUGAGAUAAACUAGAAGAUCUUCAAAGACUAUCAUUGGCUGAAAAGUCCACAUAAACACACCAAAAUAAUUUGAUAUUUAAGCAUAUGUUUACUUCCUAGCCUGAGUGUUUAUCAGUAAAUCCCAAGGAUCCAUCAAAUUCAGCACUUAUUAACAAUUCUUAACUUACUUUUUUGGAUGGUGUCAUCCCUGCUUUCCCCAGUUCCGAAAUUCGAAAUAUAUUAGCCUUCUGCCACCCUUUACUUUACUUCCAUACUCAGCCCAUUUCCAAAUCCUUUAGAAUUUUGUUGUUUUCUAACCUUUAGAUCUGUUCUGUUCUGUCUUCACAUUAUGCAUAUUACUGCUGCUUUAACUCAUUUCUUGACUAAAGAAUUACAGUAAGUAGUCUCCUCAGUUAAUCUGAGUCUGGCUUUUUCUUUUAUAUCUUGUCCAUAUUCUGUCUGUUGCUCAGUUGUUCCCAAAUGUAAAUCUAGUUAUGUCACUACCAUAAUUCAAAUCCUUCAAGAAUGUACUUUGAUCUUUAACGUGAGAUCCUAAUUUCAGUCUAGCCUCCGAGCUAGACUUCAUCUUCAAUUUAGACCUCCAACCUCUUCAGUCAUUACUUUAACCUUUAUAUCUUUUGUUGCAGCUCACUGAAUUAUUUCCUUUUCAGGAUAUGCUGUGUUUCUUUAGGUCCCCUAGGCUCUACAUGUGUGCUGUCUCCAGUACAAUGUCUCCUGCCAUAACCAUCUACUUCCCUCAACAUAAUUUUACUACAGGUCCCAAAUUUAGUAUCACUUACCAAAUCAUUCUGGCCACCCUUGGGCAGAAUUAACUUACCCCUUCUAAGUAAGUGGUACACACAUUUAAUGUUAUGAAAAGAUGGUCUUCUGUUUCCUUUUAGUGCCAGUCUACCCUGAGAUUAACUGAACCUACCUUCCAAAGUUUUAGGAAGGUUCAGAGAGGUAGUGCAUACAAAUUGUUGACCCACUGUCUUGUUCAUAAGAAGAUCUGGAUAGGACUCAAGAAAUGUUAACAUAUAUUUGGCUUCUGAUAGGAUUUUUUUUCAUGAUUUAAGAAAUAAUUUAUUAAACAGUUACUGUUUAUUAGGUGCUGGGAUUACAAAGAAGAGCAAGACUCAAUUACUGCCCUUGAAUUUAUAAUUUCCUUAGGUUAUGUAAGUGUGUGUGUGUGUGUUGUAUAUGCCUAUUGUUGAUAAUCAAAAUUAUAAUACAGCUUAAGUAAUGCUUUUGUGGAUAGGUUUAUGAGAAAAUAAAGACUGAGAAAAGGAGUCCCCAAAGAGGAAAUAGGAAAUUUCCAAAUUGGAAAAUCUUCAUCAAAGAUGACUGUGACCUGAAACAAUCAAGGGCAAAUUUUUGAGGUGAAGGUAACAUGACUUGUUCAGAAAAAGACGAAUAGUAAGACAACCUCUAAAAGAGAAAAAGGUGGGAGUAGAAAACAGGGAAGGGACAAAAUCUACUCAGAGAAAAUCUCCAUCAUUGAAAAGUUCCCCAAAGAGUCUUAAAUUAUAAUUUCCCUCCUCUGAGAAAAGGAAAAUGAAUUCCAUACAGUGGGUAUGAGAAAGCGCUGUGUGAAAAAUUGCCCUUUCUCAGGCUGGGAUGCUGGGGUAGUAUAUUCAUCUGGCAUCGAUUCUUGCCCAGUUUAAGAACAUUGCUCAGACAAAGGGUAAGGUAGGAGGAGCAAAGGAACAGCAUGUCAUUAAUUUUUCAUCUAAGGAUAUACCUCAUUUUGUUUAUCCAUUCAUCGGUAUUUGAUGGAUAUUUGGGGCCCUUUCAUAGCUAAUGCUGUUAUAAACAACCAUGUACACAUUUUGUGUAUGCAUGUAUACUACUAGAUAUUCCUACGAGUAAGAAUUGCUAGAUCUCACGGUACUGUGUUUGACAUUUGAGUAACUGCCAGACUGUUUUUCAAAAUGGUUAUACCAUUUUAUGUUCCUACCCGCAACAUAUGAGAAUACUAGUUUCAGGACUGCUUUAAAAAAUAUGUUGAUUAUAGAUGUAUUUCAGACUCAGUUCUAGUGUACUGGUCUAUUUGUCUCUCUUUAUGUUAGUACCACACUGUUUUGAUUACUUUGCUGUUGUAUAUUUCGUUUUGUAAUCAGGAAAUGUAAGUCCUUCAACUUUUCUUUGGUUGGUUAUUUGUUUUUCUAAGAUUGAAGAUCAGCUGCUUAGUUUCUGGAAAAAAAAAUAUACGUAGGCUGUUAACAUAUUGAUAGUUUUAGUGUUGAGUCUUUUGGUUUAUUUUAUGUACAUGUUUUCAUAUAUAUCUUCUUUAAUUUCUUUAAGCAGUAUUUUGUAGUCUACAACGUACAUGUCUUGUACCUCUUGGUUAAAUUCUUUACUAAGUGCUGCCAGCAUUGUCUCAGUCAGUUAAUGCACCAUUUGUGACAGUGACAUUCCAUAUCAGAGUGCCAGUUCAAGUCUUGGCUAUUCCAAUUCCAAUCCAGCUUCCUGCUAAUGUGCCUGGGGAGGAAUUGAAAGAUGUUCCAAUUACUUGGGCCACUUCUACUCGUGGUGGAGACCAGGAUUGAAUUACUGUUCCCCAGCUUCUACCUGUCCCAAACCUGGCUGUUGUGGCCAUUAGGGUGUCAACCAAUGGAUAAAAGAUUUCUCUCUCUCCUUUGAAAAGUCACUCUGCCUUUCAAAUAAGUAAAUAAAUCUUUUUUAAAAAAUUGCUUAAUAUUUUAUUAAUUUUGAUUCUGUUCUAAAUAUAUAAUUUUUUUAGAAAUUUCAAUUUUGGCUUGUUCAUUACUAGUAUUUACAAGUAAAAUGGCAUCUUGCAUGUUGAUGUGGUAUUCUGCAACUUUGCUGAAUUCAUUAACAAUUUUUAGUGGAUUCAUCAGUGUUUUUUUUA